CCUACGGGUGACAGCAGUGGGGAAUAUUGCGCAAUGGGCGAAAGCCUGACGCAGCGACGCCGCGUGAGGGAUGAAGGUCUUCAGAUCGUAAACCUCUGUCAGCAGGGAAGAACGGUCACUGUGCUAAUCAGCAGUGAAUUGACGGUACCUGCAAAGGAAGCACCGGCUAACUCCGUGCCAGCAGCCGCGGUAAUACGGAGGGUGCGAGCGUUAAUCGGAAUUACUGGGCGUAAAGCGCUCGUAGGCGGUAUGUCAAGUCAAGGGUGAAAUCCCCGCGCUCAACGUGGGAACUGCCUUUGAAAUGGGCAAACUGGAGUGUGUGAGAGGAUAGGGGAAGUCCAGGUGUAGGAGGG
This 353-nucleotide ribosomal RNA is filed under the name uncultured bacterium. RNAcentral describes it as "partial 16S ribosomal RNA". It matches the Rfam family "Bacterial small subunit ribosomal RNA", at positions 338 to 683 of the family's 1533-position model. The record is from RNAcentral.